GAUGAACGCUGGCGGCGUGCCUAAUACAUGCAAGUCGAGCGAACAGAUGAGGAGCUUGCUCCUCUGACGUUAGCGGCGGACGGGUGAGUAACACGUGGAUAACCUACCUAUAAGACUGGGAUAACUUCGGGAAACCGGAGCUAAUACCGGAUAAUAUAUUGAACCGCAUGGUUCAAUAGUGAAAGACGGUUUUGCUGUCACUUAUAGAUGGAUCCGCGCCGCAUUAGCUAGUUGGUAAGGUAACGGCUUACCAAGGCGACGAUGCGUAGCCGACCUGAGAGGGUGAUCGGCCACACUGGAACUGAGACACGGUCCAGACUCCUACGGGAGGCAGCAGUAGGGAAUCUUCCGCAAUGGGCGAAAGCCUGACGGAGCAACGCCGCGUGAGUGAUGAAGGUCUUCGGAUCGUAAAACUCUGUUAUUAGGGAAGAACAAAUGUGAAAGUAACUAUGCACGUCUUGACGGUACCUAAUCAGAAAGCCACGGCUAACUACGUG
RNAcentral lists this ribosomal RNA (497 nucleotides) under uncultured bacterium. Its description in RNAcentral is "partial 16S ribosomal RNA". It matches the Rfam family "Bacterial small subunit ribosomal RNA", at positions 28 to 507 of the family's 1533-position model. The record is from RNAcentral.